This 451-nucleotide ribosomal RNA is filed under the name uncultured bacterium. RNAcentral describes it as "partial 16S ribosomal RNA". It matches the Rfam family "Bacterial small subunit ribosomal RNA", at positions 28 to 507 of the family's 1533-position model. The record is from RNAcentral.
AGCGAACGCUGGCGGCAUGCCUAACACAUGCAAGUCGCACGGGGGGGCUUCGGCCUCCCAGUGGCGGACGGGUGAGGAACGCGUAGGGACCUGUCGAGGGGUGGGGGAUAACCGCGGGAAACUGCGGCUAAUACCGCAUGACGCCGCGGCGUGACAGCCGGGGCCAAAGGCGAAAGCCGCCCGCCGAGGGGCCUGCGUCCGAUUAGCUGGUUGGCGGGGUAGCGGCCCACCAAGGCGUCGAUCGGUAGCUGGUCUGAGAGGGUGAUCAGCCACACCGGGACUGAGACACGGCCCGGACUCCUACGGGAGGGAGCAGUGGGGAAUAUUGGACAAUGGGCGCAAGCCUGAUCCAGCAAUGCCGCGUGGGUGAAGAAGGUCUUCGGAUUGUAAAGCCCUUUCGGCGGGGACGAUGGUGACGGUACCCGCAGAAGAAGCCCCGGCUAACUUCGUG